Molecule: non-coding RNA, 47 nt
Organism: Stegodyphus mimosarum
Lineage: Eukaryota; Metazoa; Arthropoda; Arachnida; Araneae; Eresidae
Source: Rfam
AAAACGGCCCUUUUCAGGGCCAAGUAAUUUCUAAAGUGAUUAUGUCU